Molecule: long non-coding RNA, 698 nt
Organism: Numida meleagris (helmeted guineafowl)
Lineage: Eukaryota; Metazoa; Chordata; Aves; Galliformes; Numididae
Exons: 3
Source: RefSeq, a predicted model, not a curated record
UACUGAGCAACGGCAUUGUCAUGGGCUUUAGAAGGUCCUGGCUCAAUUCCCCCUAAUCUCACCAAGCUCAGAGCGAUGUCUUUAUCAUAAAACAUUAACGAAAAUGAAGAGGUGGCUGAAUACCAAGGAAAGGGGACAGAUCUACUUUGGCUGCAAAUAAAAACGCAUACUGGCAUUUAUCUAUAUUCUUUCUACAAGCUGGAGAAGAGAAAAUAAUACAGAAAAAAAAAGUAUUGCCGCAUUUUCUACACAGUCCAGAAAUUUGACCUGGUUUUCAUUCAGAUGCAUUAUCAACAGAAAAAAAAUACUUUACAAAUACCUACGGAACUUCCAAGAUAUUUUUAAGCGAAGUUACAGAAGAUACAUGAAAGAGGUUUGGAAGAAAAAGAGAAGCUGCAGUGAUUAAGGAAGCAGCAUAUAAAGAGCAAAACAAAAGUAUAAAACCUCAGAAACCCACUGUGGAGUAAGAGACAAGGGAAAAGAAAAAAAUGAAUGAAUCUUGAAAUAAAUAAGCUAUAUCAAAGCUUGAAACAGCUACAUAGUGAGGGUAAAAAGAUGCCUGUAUGAAAGUGUCAGUAUACAAAUAGCUGUUUCCAUAGCUGUGUCACCUCACCAAACUCCAAUUUUGAAUCAGAACAAGUGACACAUAGCAAAAAAAAAAAAAUAAAAAAAAAUGUAAUGACAAAAAUGGCAGCUAA